CGUGGAUCUGCAGGGAGUGGAAGCUGCUAGCAAGGAAGGGCUCUUCUUCACAGGCUACAGAAGUGGGCAGAGAGGGUGAGGAUGGAAGGAAGACAAGGAACACUGGGUGGCCGGAACUUUACCAGGUUCAAACUCCUGGGCGGGCCCAGUAACUCAGGUGGUUGGAGCGCUGUGCUCCUAAUGCCGAAGUUGCUGGUGCUACCAGGAGCCAGCGUGAGCAGCCUGCAGCGGGAGAGAGCAGCCGUGAGCUGCCAUGAGCUGCUGCAAGUGGCCGACUGAGGACCUACGACUGACUUCCUCAGCCGGGGGGGGGGGGGGAGUGCAAGGCUCAUAAUCCCAGCAUGGGCCAGGGAGCUGUGUCCUACACAACUAGACUGCGAAACAACGGCUUGAACUGGAGUGGGGAGGGGGGAAGGUGGAAGGGGAAAACAAAGUUCAAAUUCCUUAGUAUGUCUUACAAGUAGGGUUACCAUAUAAGAGGGUGACCAAACAAGGACACUUUUGAGAGUGAAAGGUGGUGUUAUUAAUAAGUACGCUGGGGCAAUAGGCCUCUGGUCACUCUACUUAUCAGAUCCUUCAUGAUCUGGUCUCUCCAGCCCCAUCCCUCUUCGCAGCUCCGCAUCCUACCCUCAAACACACACACACACACACACACACACACACACACACACACACACGAGCCCCAUAUGUGUUCUUUUGGGUGUCUAGGUGUCAUGCAGGGUGUCAUGCAGCGUCUCAGUUCCCGCUCCCCUCUUAAGAACACAUGGUGAAGCCUAAAAGGAACACCCACGGAGCCAUAGAUAGGGGAGUCAUACCAUUGGCAGCCGGGCGAGACAUACGAAGUAGAAGCCACACUAUCCGCAACCCGCCGUCCCCUUUUCUGCCUGCCAACCAGCUGACCAACCAACGCAAUCAUGGCAAUUACAACGGUAGCCAAUUGGCCAACCAGCUACAGCCAACAGCCAACCACCACUGGAGCCAGCACCUCCCCAUGUGAGGCCGAGAGCCUGGAAACUGCUCUCUGGGACUCCGUCCCCACAUUCCACCCCUCCAGGGUCUUGCCUCACAAUCUACGUGACAAUCAUCUUCCGUGAGGGGCCCUGUGUGGUAUUAACCUAUAGGCACCUAUGGGUGGAAAGAAACAGUAGUCUUAGGAACCAACAAUGGUAAAUC
Molecule: long non-coding RNA, 1173 nt
Organism: Rhinolophus ferrumequinum (greater horseshoe bat)
Lineage: Eukaryota; Metazoa; Chordata; Mammalia; Chiroptera; Rhinolophidae
Exons: 3
Source: RefSeq, a predicted model, not a curated record